AUGAUGAACUUAGUUGCAACAUAGAGUCAAGCUCUGAGCCAAGUGCGCGGACGAGCCUUGCAUAGUCUAUCUCUGACC
This is a small nuclear RNA of Eremothecium gossypii ATCC 10895, 78 nucleotides long. NCBI's taxonomy places the organism in Eukaryota, Fungi, Ascomycota, Saccharomycetes, Saccharomycetales, Saccharomycetaceae. The record is from RefSeq.